RNAcentral lists this non-coding RNA (25 nucleotides) under Cricetulus griseus (Chinese hamster). Lineage: Eukaryota; Metazoa; Chordata; Mammalia; Rodentia; Cricetidae. The record is from RNAcentral.
GUUGGGUUUGAAUAGAAUUAAGGUA